UGAGUAACACGUAUCCAACCUGCCGUCUACUCUUGGACAGCCUUCUGAAAGGAAGAUUAAUACAAGAUGGCAUCAUGAGUCCGCAUGUCCACAUGAUUAAAGGUAUUCCGGUAGACGAUGGGGAUGCGUUCCAUUAGAUAGUAGGCGGGGUAACGGCCCACCUAGUCUUCGAUGGAUAGGGGUUCUGAGAGGAAGGUCCCCCACAUUGGAACUGAGACACGGUCCAA
RNAcentral lists this ribosomal RNA (227 nucleotides) under uncultured bacterium. Its description in RNAcentral is "partial 16S ribosomal RNA". It matches the Rfam family "Bacterial small subunit ribosomal RNA", at positions 107 to 334 of the family's 1533-position model. The record is from RNAcentral.